AUACGUAGGUGACAAGCGUUAUCCGGAUUUACUGGGCGUAAAGGGCGUGUAGGCGGUCUUGCAAGUCAGAAGUGAAAUUCCUGAGCUCAACUCGGGCGCUGCUUCUGAAACUGCAGGACUUGAGUGCUGGAGGGGAUAGCGGAAUUCCUAGUGGAGCGGUAAAAUGCGCAGAUAUUAGGAAGAACACCGGUGGCGACGGCGGCUAUCUGGACAGUAACUGACGCUGAGGCGCGAAAGCGUGGAGAGCAAACAGGAUUAGAUACCCGGGUAGUCCACGCCGUAAACGAUGAAUACUAGGUGUAGGGGGUAUCGACUCCCUCUGUGCCGCAGUUAACACAAUAAGUAUUCCGCCUGGGGAGUACGGCCGCAAGGUUGAAACUCAAAUGAAUUGACGGGG
This 397-nucleotide ribosomal RNA is filed under the name uncultured bacterium. Its description in RNAcentral is "partial 16S ribosomal RNA". It matches the Rfam family "Bacterial small subunit ribosomal RNA", at positions 523 to 918 of the family's 1533-position model. The record is from RNAcentral.